UAUCGAAACAAAUGGAGCAAUUCUUUUUAGGAAAAAAAAAGGUUUUAAAUAACGUUACAACUAAUCUUUCCAAUUCACAAAAUUGGCUUAGAAUUCGAAAAUUAAGAUCAUAAAUUCGUAGACUACCAUCAAAUCUAGACAUUUAAUCAAACAAAAUUUAAAAAUUGUUAUUCAUGAUUGAGUUUCAAACGAAGGGAAGAAAUCGAUAUCCAACCCAUGGAAGAGCUGACAGACCGGUUCUCAUAUCAUGGAAGCAAAGGAUUGGUAGAGAUUUGAGAGGGAUUCAGGGAGAUUACGUAAGGCAAAUGAUACUGAUACAGCACUCUGCUCUGUUCUGACGUCGCAAUGAAUUUUGACCACUGAAGAACAGUUAUCCUACUACAAAUAUAGGCGGCAUCAGCUAAUGUAGUAACUUUUCAUUUGAUAGUUUAAGGGUUUGAAAAACAUAAGCUGUUGGCUGAUGACAUAAAAUGACAGUCCAAUGUGAAAAGAGAAUCACAGUCUUACAUGCAUCCCAACCAGACGUCAUUUUAUCUGUUGUUUAACUUUAAACAAGUGGACGUGAUGCAGACAAGAUAACAAAAUUCCAUCAACAAGCUACAUGACCAAUAUUAGAAGCACCCUUUUGAGAAGCCUAGCUAGACUACAGAUGAUAUGACGCAGAAGCCGACUAAAGUAGCAGGUAAACCUUAUUUUUUUCAGAAAUUUCCUUCCUUUUUGAUAAUUUUUAAAUGCUUUUUAGACGAAUAUAUGGAUAUAUUGAGUUUGUUGGAAAUUGGUAACUGGUUGGAUGAUUAGUGCUCUCCUUGGAACGAAAAGGAUGGAAAUAACAUUACUGGCUCCUAACUGCUAUUGAUUGUGAUGUGAAGCACCAAAACCAAGCUGAAGACAGGUCUCUUUCUUGAAACAGAACUUGCAUUCAUUAUUGUUGCUGCCUACUGAUAAGUUUCCCUUUUUAAGAAAACCAUUUUAAUUAUUUUUUUAAUGAUAUGUUUGAAUAAAUACAUUUUUGACAUGUGUCUUAGAUAAUGUUUGGUGAAUAGUUGAGUGUAAAUUGGUGAAUUAUGUGAAGUAAAUGCUAAUUAUUAGAAUGAAUUUGCUUUGGGGGUGGAUGGAGUUGGACGAUCUGGAUGCGCCUUGUCUUUCUAAAAGUUUGUAAAUAUCUGCAUGAAUAAGGUCAUUGUUCUUUGCAGUUGAAGUUGAAGAAGAAGAACAAAAUUGAAAAACAUCUUUCCACUAUUUGUUUUCUCGAAUUUUGAAGCACAAUCAUCACUAGCAUCAAUAAUUUAUUUAUUUAAAUGCUAGUCCUGAUGCAUCUUUAAAUAAAUAAUCAGAAUCUAAUUCUUUCAUGCGAUUAGUGAUUAUUUAUUCAAGAUCCGCUUGAUAUACACUUGAGAAGUUGUCAAUUUUUUUUUCUUCUCUCUUUAUUUGACAUCGCAUUAUUAAAAUCAAGCCAAAACUGUAACUCAACCUCCAUCCUGGUCAAGUAAUACAUCUGGAAGUGUCCAAUCAUCCUUGUUGUCAUCAGAUGGAGCUCAGAGUUAGCUGUGGAGAACAUGAACACCCCAUCACAGCAAAUGGUGAUGUCAAUGUUACAGAUGGUGGUUCUUAGGCAGGAAGAUUAUUCAGUCAUGAUUUCAUGAGUCUGAUGUUGUUGUAAUUACCCCCCGUAGGUUCAAGGAUAUUCCUUUUCAUUUUGGGGUAAGUUUAUCGUGUACAUGAAUGUAACAACUUUUUUUCUAGUACAAGUUGGGAGUGGGAGGAUUUGAAUCACAGACCUCUUGGCCCUCAAUACAUACAGAUAUCAGUUGAGUUACGUUCUUGUUGGCAUGAAUGUAACAACUUACUUAUAUAGAAAAAACAAUAUAUAUAUACUGUAGUGUGGAGGAAAAAAUAAAAUUGCCCAUCUAUUAUGAACCGCUUUCAUAUUCAUCA
This is a non-coding RNA of Benincasa hispida (wax gourd), 1935 nucleotides long. The record is from RefSeq and is a predicted model, not a curated record. Lineage: Eukaryota; Viridiplantae; Streptophyta; Magnoliopsida; Cucurbitales; Cucurbitaceae.